Molecule: ribosomal RNA, 326 nt
Filed under: uncultured eukaryote
Lineage: Eukaryota
Description: partial 18S ribosomal RNA
Rfam family: Eukaryotic small subunit ribosomal RNA
Source: RNAcentral
CCCUUAGAUGUUCUGGGCCGCACGCGCGCUACACUGACGAAGUCAGCGAGCAUGUCCUACGCCGACAGGUGCGGGGAAUCUUGUCAAACUUCGUCGUGAUGGGGAUUGAUUUUUGAAAUUCUUGAUCAUAAACGAGGAAUUCCUAGUAAGCGCAAGUCAGCAGCUUGCGUUGAUUACGUCCCUGCCCUUUGUACACACCGCCCGUCGCUACUACCGAUUGAAUGUUUAAGCGAGGUUCUCGAACUGCUAGCGACUUAGCUUCGGUGAGGUCGCAGUGUGGGAAGUGAACCUAGCUUUGGUGUCUAGAGGAAGUAAAAGUCGUAACA